This 852-nucleotide ribosomal RNA is filed under the name uncultured organism. RNAcentral's name for it is "SSU rRNA". It matches the Rfam family "Bacterial small subunit ribosomal RNA", at positions 47 to 899 of the family's 1533-position model. The record is from RNAcentral.
CUUAACACAUGCAAGUCGAACGAAGCGCUUAAACGGAUUUCUUCGGAUUGAAGUUUUUGUGACUGAGUGGCGGACGGGUGAGUAACGCGUGGGUAACCUGCCUCGUACAGGGGGAUAACAGUUAGAAAUGACUGCUAAUACCGCAUAAGCGCACAGUGCUGCAUGGCACAGUGUGAAAAACUCCGGUGGUAUGAGAUGGACCCGCGUCUGAUUAGCUGGUUGGUGGGGUAAUGGCCUACCAAGGCGACGAUCAGUAGCCGGCCUGAGAGGGUGAACGGCCACAUUGGGACUGAGACACGGCCCAAACUCCUACGGGAGGCAGCAGUGGGGAAUAUUGCACAAUGGGGGAAACCCUGAUGCAGCGACGCCGCGUGAGCGAAGAAGUAUUUCGGUAUGUAAAGCUCUAUCAGCAGGGAAGAAAAUGACGGUACCUGACUAAGAAGCACCGGCUAAAUACGUGCCAGCAGCCGCGGUAAUACGUAUGGUGCAAGCGUUAUCCGGAUUUACUGGGUGUAAAGGGAGCGUAGACGGUUGUGUAAGUCUGAUGUGAAAGCCCGGGGCUCAACCCCGGGACUGCAUUGGAAACUAUGUAACUAGAGUGUCGGAGAGGUAAGCGGAAUUCCUAGUGUAGCGGUGAAAUGCGUAGAUAUUAGGAGGAACACCAGUGGCGAAGGCGGCUUACUGGACGAUCACUGACGUUGAGGCUCGAAAGCGUGGGGAGCAAACAGGAUUAGAUACCCUGGUAGUCCACGCCGUAAACGAUGACUACUAGGUGUCGGGGAGCAAAGCUCUUCGGUGCCGCAGCAAACGCAAUAAGUAGUCCACCUGGGGAGUACGUUCGCAAGAAUGAAA